GACGAACGCUGGCGGCGUGCUUAACACAUGCAAGUCGAACGGAAAGGCCCUGCUUUUGUGGGGUGCUCGAGUGGCGAACGGGUGAGUAACACGUGAGUAACCUGCCCUUGACUUUGGGAUAACUUCAGGAAAUUGGGGCUAAUACCGGAUAGGAGCUCCUGCUGCAUGGUGGGGGUUGGAAAGUUUCGGCGGUUGGGGAUGGACUCGCGGCUUAUCAGCUUGUUGGUGGGGUAGUGGCUUACCAAGGCUUUGACGGGUAGCCGGCCUGAGAGGGUGACCGGCCACAUUGGGACUGAGAUACGGCCCAGACUCCUACGGGAGGCAGCAGUGGGGAAUAUUGCACAAUGGGCGGGAGCCUGAUGCAGCAACGCCGCGUGCGGGAUGACGGCCUUCGGGUUGUAAACCGCUUUCGCCUGUGACGAAGCGUGAGUGACGGUAAUGGGUAAAGAAGCACCGGCUAACUACGUG
Molecule: ribosomal RNA, 468 nt
Filed under: uncultured bacterium
Lineage: Bacteria
Description: partial 16S ribosomal RNA
Rfam family: Bacterial small subunit ribosomal RNA
Source: RNAcentral